AGCUGUGAAGGUCAUCUGGCUGUGUCAUCCGUCAUCCCAUUGAUCACUAGGCUGAUUUGGCAGAUCUGGCUGGGUAGGCAGGUGUCUCCUUCCUGCCUUACUACUCCGUGUAUACUCUUCCCAAAGCUGCACCUUCAGUUAGAGAUGACAAGCUUCCUCAAUAGAGACACAUCAUUCUUCUGUCACCAUUAUACAAGCAGCUGCACUCAUUGACUGGAGCCUUCAAACCAGGACUGAGGUCCAAUAACCCCAUAAACUUAAGUUUCCCAUGGAGAUUAGCUUCCCCU
Unclassified non-coding RNA from Cricetulus griseus (Chinese hamster), 287 nucleotides. Its record names the gene 7SK. It matches the Rfam family "7SK RNA". Rfam says of the family: 7SK was discovered as an abundant small nuclear RNA in the mid-70s but a possible function has only recently been suggested. Two independent studies have found that 7SK RNA binds the CDK9/cyclin T complex (known as elongation factor P-TEFb). Lineage: Eukaryota; Metazoa; Chordata; Mammalia; Rodentia; Cricetidae. The record is from Ensembl.